RNAcentral lists this transfer RNA (78 nucleotides) under Defluviitalea saccharophila. Its description in RNAcentral is "tRNA-Pro". It matches the Rfam family "tRNA". Rfam says of the family: Transfer RNA (tRNA) molecules are approximately 80 nucleotides in length. Their secondary structure includes four short double-helical elements and three loops (D, anti-codon, and T loops). Further hydrogen bonds mediate the characteristic L-shaped molecular structure. tRNAs have two regions of fundamental functional importance: the anti-codon, which is responsible for specific mRNA codon recognition, and the 3' end, to which the tRNAs corresponding amino acid is attached (by aminoacyl-tRNA synthetases). tRNAs cope with the degeneracy of the genetic code in two manners: having more than one tRNA (with a specific anti-codon) for a particular amino acid; and 'wobble' base-pairing, i.e. permitting non-standard base-pairing at the 3rd anti-codon position. Lineage: Bacteria; Bacillati; Bacillota; Clostridia; Lachnospirales; Defluviitaleaceae. The record is from RNAcentral. RNAcentral also lists the same sequence under 2 other names.
CGGGGUGUGGCUCAGCUUGGCUAGAGCGCUUGAUUUGGGAUCAAGAGGUCGCAGGUUCGAAUCCUGUCACCCCGACCA